GAUGAACGCUGGCGGCGUGCCUAAUACAUGCAAGUCGAGCGAACGGACGAGAAGCUUGCUUUUCUGAUGUUAGCGGCGGACGGGUGAGUAACACGUGGAUAACCUACCUAUAAGACUGGGAUAACUUCGGGAAACCGGAGCUAAUACCGGAUAAUAUUUUGAACCGCAUGGUUCAAAAGUGAAAGACGGUCUUGCUGUCACUUAUAGAUGGAUCCGCGCUGCAUUAGCUAGUUGGUAAGGUAACGGCUUACCAAGGCAACGAUGCAUAGCCGACCUGAGAGGGUGAUCGGCCACACUGGAACUGAGACGCGGUCCAGACUCCUACGGGAGGCAGCAGUAGGGAAUCUUCCGCAAUGGGCGAAAGCCUGACGGAGCAGCGCCGCGUGAGUGAUGAAGGUCUUCGGAUCGUAAAACUCUGUUAUUAGGGAAGAACAUAUGUGUAAGUAACUGUGCACAUCUUGACGGUACCUAAUCAGAAAGCCACGGCUAACUACGUG
This 497-nucleotide ribosomal RNA is filed under the name uncultured bacterium. RNAcentral describes it as "partial 16S ribosomal RNA". It matches the Rfam family "Bacterial small subunit ribosomal RNA", at positions 28 to 507 of the family's 1533-position model. The record is from RNAcentral.